UGCUAUACAUGCAGUCGAGCGAUGGAUAAGAGCUUGCUCUUAUGAAGUUAGCGGCGGACGGGUGAGUAACACGUGGGUAACCUGCCCAUAAGACUGGGAUAACUCCGGGAAACCGGGGCUAAUACCGGAUAACAUUUUGAACUGCAUGGUUCGAAAUUGAAAGGCGGCUUCGGCUGUCACUUAUGGAUGGACCCGCGUCGCAUUAGCUAGUUGGUGAGGUAACGGCUCACCAAGGCAACGAUGCGUAGCCGACCUGAGAGGGUGGUCGGCCACACUGGGACUGAAAACCCGGCCCAAACUCCUACGGGAGGCAGCAGUAGGGAAUCUUCCGCAAUGGACGAAAGUCUGACGGACCACCGCCCGCGUGGAGUGAUGAAGGUUUUCGGGUCGAAAAAUUCUGUUUGUUAGGAAAAAAACAAGUGCUAGUUGAAUAAGCUGGCCCCUUUGACGGUACCUAACCAAAAAGCCCCGGUUACUUACGUGCCAGCCGCCCGGGGAAUUACUUAGGGGGGCAGGCUUUAUCCGGAAUUUUUUGGGGCGUAAACCGCGCGCAGGGGUUUUCUUAAGUUCUGAGGUGAAACCCCCCCGGCCCCACCCGGGGGAGGGUCUUGGAAAACUGGGAAAAU
RNAcentral lists this ribosomal RNA (626 nucleotides) under Bacillus thuringiensis. Its description in RNAcentral is "partial 16S ribosomal RNA". It matches the Rfam family "Bacterial small subunit ribosomal RNA", at positions 45 to 642 of the family's 1533-position model. The record is from RNAcentral. Lineage: Bacteria; Bacillati; Bacillota; Bacilli; Caryophanales; Bacillaceae.